This 77-nucleotide transfer RNA is filed under the name bacterium ADurb.BinA186. RNAcentral's name for it is "tRNA-Val". It matches the Rfam family "tRNA". From Rfam's summary of the family: Transfer RNA (tRNA) molecules are approximately 80 nucleotides in length. Their secondary structure includes four short double-helical elements and three loops (D, anti-codon, and T loops). The record is from RNAcentral. RNAcentral also lists the same sequence under 1 other name.
GGGCGCUUAGCUCAGUUGGUUAGAGCGACUCGUUUACACCGAGUAGGUCAGGGGUUCGACUCCCUUAGCGCCCACCA